GUGCACCAGGCGCGAAAACUUUACAAUGUGCGAAAGCACGAUAAGGGAACUCUGAGUGCCUCCUAAGGAGGCUGUUCAGGUGUCUAAAAAGCACCUGAAGGAAGGGCUGGGUAAGACCGGUGCCAGCCGCCGCGGUAACACCGGCAGCCCAAGUGGUAGGCCACGUUUAUUGGGUCUAAAGCGUCCGUAGCCGGCUGGGUAAGUUCCUUGGGAAAUUUGGCUGCUUAACAGUCAAGGCUUUCAGGGAAUACUGCCCGGCUUGGGACCGGGAGAGGUCAGAGGUACUCCAGGGGUAGGGGUGAAAA
Molecule: ribosomal RNA, 305 nt
Filed under: uncultured microorganism
Description: bacterial SSU rRNA
Rfam family: Archaeal small subunit ribosomal RNA
Source: RNAcentral